RNAcentral lists this ribosomal RNA (265 nucleotides) under uncultured bacterium. RNAcentral describes it as "partial 16S ribosomal RNA". It matches the Rfam family "Bacterial small subunit ribosomal RNA", at positions 565 to 828 of the family's 1533-position model. The record is from RNAcentral.
GAGCACGUAGGUGGGUUUGUAAGUCAGAUGUGAAAGCCUUCUGUUCAACGGAAGAAUUGCAUCUGAAACUACAAACCUUGAGUAUAGGAGGGGAGAGUGGAACUUCUGGUGGAGCGGUGAAAUGUGUAGAUAUCAGAAGGAACGCCGGCGGCGAAAGCGACUCUCUGGCCUAUUACUGACACUGAGUGUGCGAAAGCUAGGGGAGCAAACGGGAUUAGAUACCCCGGUAGUCCUAGCCGUAAACGAUGGGCACUAAGUAGAGGGG